This 1998-nucleotide ribosomal RNA is filed under the name gut metagenome. Its description in RNAcentral is "bacterial LSU rRNA". It matches the Rfam family "Bacterial large subunit ribosomal RNA", at positions 1 to 2024 of the family's 2925-position model. The record is from RNAcentral.
GAAAGUAAGCAAGGGCAGACGGUGGAUGCCUUGGCUCUCGGAGGCGAUGAAGGACGUGAUAAGCUGCGAUAAGCUUGGGGUAGGUGCAAAUAACCUUUGAUCCCAAGAUUUCCGAAUGGGGCAACCCGGCUGGUAGAAGGCCAGUCAUUCCGUAAGGAAGGCGAACGUGGGGAACUGAAACAUCUAAGUACCCAUAGGAGAAGAAAACAAAAGUGAUUCCGCAAGUAGUGGCGAGCGAACGCGGAACAGCCCAAACCGAUGAUGUUUAGGCAUUGUCGGGGUAGUAGGACCACGUUGUGGCAAGAGAUUAAGGAAGUAGAACGUUUUGGAACAAACGGCCGUAGACGGUGAAAGCCCAGUAUACGACUCUUUAACGAAGCCUAGUGGAAUCCUGAGUAGCGCGGAGCACGAGAAAUUCUGUGUGAAUCAGCGGGGCCCAUCCCGUAAGGCUAAAUACUCCCGAGAGACCGAUAGCGAACCAGUACUGUGAAGGAAAGGUGAAAAGCACCUCGAACAGAGGAGUGAAAUAGUCCCUGAAACCGUCUGCCUACAAGCGGUCGGAGCAACGUAAGUUGUGACGGCGUGCCUUUUGCAUAAUGAACCUACGAGUUACUUUCUCCGGCAAGGUUAAGGGCUUCAGGCCCGGAGCCGAAGCGAAAGCGAGUCUUAAUAGGGCGUGAUAGUCGGAGUGAGUAGACGCGAAACCAAGUGAUCUACCCUUGGUCAGGAUGAAGGUUGGGUAACACCAACUGGAGGUCCGAAUGGGUAUACGUUGAAAAGUGUUCCAAUGAACUGAGGGUAGGGGUGAAAGGCUAAUCAAACUUGGAGAUAGCUCGUACUCCCCGAAAUGCAUUUAGGUGCAGCCUUUAUUUAGUAUAGCAUGAGGUAGAGCGACUGAUUGGAUGCGAGGGCUUCACCGCCUAUCAAGUCCAGAUAAACUCCGAAUGCGUGCUAUAUAUUGAUAAGGAGUGAGGGCGCGGGUGCUAAGGUCCGCGUCCGAGAGGAGAAGAAUCCAGACCAUCAGCUAAGGUCCCCAAAUAACAGUUAAGUUGAACUAACGAAGUCGGACUGCAGAGACAGCUAGGAUGUUGGCUUGGAAGCAGCCAUUCAUUUAAAGAGUGCGUAACAGCUCACUAGUCGAGGAGUCCGGCGUGGAUAAUACUCGGGCAUAAACUGUUUACCGAAGCUAUGGAUGUAGAAAUACAUGGUAGGGGAGCAUUCCAACGGCGUCGAAGGUGAAGGAUGACCUUUGCUGGAGCUUUUGGAAACGCAAAUGUAGGUAUAAGUAACGAUAAAGGAGGUGAGAAACCUCCUCGCCGAAAGACUAAGGUUUCCUGAUCAACGUUAAUCGGAUCAGGGUAAGUCGGGACCUAAGGUUAAGCCGAACGGCGAUACCGAUGGAAGAAUGGUUUAAUAUUCCCAUACUACUUUAUGGAGCGAUGUGGAGACGGAGAAGUGAAAGUCCUGCCAUCUGACGGAAUAGGUGGUUGAAGAGUGUAGAUGUAGAUUCCUGUAGGCAAAUCCGCAGGGAGAGUCGACCUUGAUAGUAUGCCGCGUGCUUGCACAAGGCAAAAUGGACGUAAUCAGGCUCCCAAGAAAAUCCGCUAAGCAUAUUCAUAAAGUACCCGUACCGUAAACGGACACACGUAGUUGGGUUGAAAAUACUGAGGCGCUCGAGUGAUUCACGGUUAAGGAACUAGGCAAAUUGACCCUGUAACUUCGGGAUAAAGGGUCCCUACUGAGAGGUAGGGCGCAGAGAAUAGGUCCAGGCAACUGUUUAACAAAAACACAUGGCUGUGCGAAAUAGAAAUAUGAAGUAUACAGCCUGACACCUGCCCGGUGCUGGAAGGUUAAGAGGAGAGCUCAUCGCAAGAGAAGGCUUGAAUUGAAGCCCCAGUAAACGGCGGCCGUAACUAUAACGGUCCUAAGGUAGCGAAAUUCCUUGUCGGGUAAGUUCCGACCUGCACGAAUGGUGUAAUGAUCUGGACACUGUCUCAA